GAUGAAGAACGUAGCGAAAUGCGAUAAGUAAUGUGAAUUGCAGAAUUCAGUGAAUCAUCGAAUCUUUGAACGCACCUUGCGCCCUUUGGCUAUUCCGAAGGGCAUGCCUGUUUGAGUAUCGUGAACACCUCAACUCUCAUGGUUUGCCAUGAUGAGCUUGGACUUGGGGGUUUUGCUGGCCUUCGGUCGGCUCCUCUCAAACGGAUCAGCUUUCCAGUGUUUGGUGGCGUCACGGGUGUGAUAACUAUCUACGCCUGUGGUUUUCUGCCAGAUAACCUUCAGCGAUGGAGGUUCGCUGGGGCUCAUAAAUGUCUCUCUUCAGUGGAGACAGCUUUUUGGACGUUUGAUCUCAAAUCAGGUAGGACUACCCGCUGAACUUAAGCAUAUCAAUAAGCGGAGGA
This 401-nucleotide unclassified non-coding RNA is filed under the name soil metagenome. RNAcentral's name for it is "partial contains 5.8S ribosomal RNA, internal transcribed spacer 2, and large subunit ribosomal RNA". The stretch from base 1 to 121 matches the Rfam family "5.8S ribosomal RNA", at positions 35 to 154 of the family's 154-position model. The record is from RNAcentral.